RNAcentral lists this ribosomal RNA (389 nucleotides) under uncultured Megasphaera sp. Its description in RNAcentral is "bacterial SSU rRNA". It matches the Rfam family "Bacterial small subunit ribosomal RNA", at positions 160 to 525 of the family's 1533-position model. Lineage: Bacteria; Bacillati; Bacillota; Negativicutes; Veillonellales; Veillonellaceae. The record is from RNAcentral.
CUGCUAAUACCGAAUACGAUCUUUUCGUCGCAUGACGGAAAGAAGAAAAAGGAUGGCCUCUAUACAAAGCUAUCGCCGAAGGAGGGGUUUGCGUCUGAUUAGCUGGUUGGAGGGUAACGGCCAACAAGGCGAUGAUCAGUAGCCGGUCUGAGAGGAUGAACGGCCACAUUGGGACUGAGACACGGCCCAGACUCCUACGGGAGGCAGCAGUGGGGAAUCUUCCGCAAUGGACGAAAGUCUGACGGAGCAACGCCGCGUGAGUGAAGAAGGUCUUCGGAUUGUAAAGCUCCGUUAUACGGGACGAAAAAGACGGAUGCCAACAGUAUCCGUCCGUGACGGUACCGUAAGAGAAAGCCACGGCUAACUACGUGCCAGCAGCCGCGGUAAAU